AUUGACGGAGGGGCACCACCAGGAGUGGAGCGUGCGGCUUAAUUUGACUCAACACGGGAAAACUUACCAGGUCCAGACAUUUGAAGGAUUGACAGAUUGAUAGCUCUUUCAUGAUUAAAUGGGUGGUGGUGCAUGGCCGUUCUUAGUUGGUGGAGUGAUUUGUCUGGUUAAUUCCGAUAACGAACGAGACCUUUACCAGCUAAAUAGUAAUUAUUAGGACUUGUCCUAGUAAGAUAUACUUCUUAGAGGGACUAUUGGUUUUUAAACCAAAGGAAGUAAAGGCGAUAACAGGUCUGUGAUGCCCUUAGAUGUUCUGGGCUGCACGCGCGCUACAAUGAUCAACUCAUCAAGUUAUCUCAACUUGUUUGUGAUUUACUUUUCCUGAAGGAGUGGUUAAUCUUCAACGUUGAUCGUGCUUGGGAUAGAUAAUUGUAAUUAUUUGUCUUGAACAAGGAAUUCCUAGUAAUCGUAAUUCAUCAGAUUGCGAUGAUUACGUCCCUGCCCCUUGUACACACCGCCCGUCGCUGCUACCGAUUGAAUAAUCCGGUGAACUCGUCGGAUUGUGGUAAAUAUUUAGCUUUCGGGUUAAAUUUUGCUGCGAGAAGUUGAUAAACCAUGUUAUUAGAGAAGCAAA
Molecule: ribosomal RNA, 634 nt
Filed under: Vannella sp. VAN_85/10
Lineage: Eukaryota; Discosea; Flabellinia; Vannellidae
Description: bacterial SSU rRNA
Rfam family: Eukaryotic small subunit ribosomal RNA
Source: RNAcentral